Molecule: long non-coding RNA, 1054 nt
Organism: Pezoporus occidentalis (night parrot)
Lineage: Eukaryota; Metazoa; Chordata; Aves; Psittaciformes; Psittacidae
Exons: 3
Source: RefSeq, a predicted model, not a curated record
GAUCCGCGCCCCAGCUGCGCCUCCCUCCGCCGGCGGCGCCGCUCCUCAGUGACAGCUGCGUCGCCAGCCCUCAGCGCCCGCCUGCCCCCUCCGGAACCUACCAACUCCGCCCCCCACACGCCUCCUCGUCCCUUCACCAUCUCCCGUGCGCACUGGCUCGGCCUUGUGGGGCCGUUGCGCCGAACCGGGCACCGGCACUGCGAGCGGUUUAUGUCCCUUUCCAGAGCGACAAAAAGCUACAGCUAGGUUUUACCAGAGGAAAACAGGGAGUCCUGAGCAGCAAGUGCAAUGAAAAUUUUCCAGUCAGUAAGUGUCAAUGCGAAGGAACAUGCCACCUUGCAAAGGUCAGCAGAAGGAAUCAAAAACUUCUCUGAGAUGUAAACAUUUCCAAGACUUUCCAAAGAAUAAGCACAUGUCUACUUUUGCUGUGUACUCUGGAAAGUUGAUCAUGGUCAAAUAUUCUGUUAGUCUACAGCAGAUUAAACAGCUGCAUUACUGUAAACUGAGUUUGAUUCUCCAUGAUUCAGCUUUUGCAAUUCCUAGCUAUAACUGUUUAAAAUAGAGACUGUCCAGGGUGUUCCCUUUUGCUCUGCUGGUGAUAAGAAACAUAUACUGAGACAGCUUAGAGAAAGAUUUACCUCUUCUCUUUCAGUUACAUCUUUUAAGAGGCUAGUCAUAAACUUUGGUUUUGUUCUCUCUUUUUUUUUUUUUCUGAGACAUACUUUCAAACAAACUCUACAUGUGAUUGGGAGCAGUUUACUUUCAAAGUGUCGUGAUGAGCCUAACUUCUCUAAUUGUGUCCUAAAGAAGCAGGCUUCAGCCUCAGGCACAAGCAUCCUGGCACAGCUCAGAAGGAAAAGGGCACACUGGGAACUGUGCAAAACGAGCACCCCUAAGCACUGAGGGCUUUAAACUUCCUAAUGGAUAAAAAAUAGAAGGGUACUGUGGUAUAUUUGGUAAAAGCUUUAUGCCAAACAGUGGCAAGGAUGAGGGCAUUCAGUUGUAAAGUUACUCAAGUGUAAGCAAAUUGGCAAACAGAGUCUUCAUGUUGGUG